Molecule: RNA transcript, 869 nt
Organism: Peromyscus californicus insignis
Lineage: Eukaryota; Metazoa; Chordata; Mammalia; Rodentia; Cricetidae
Gene: Mrpl36
Gene name: mitochondrial ribosomal protein L36
Exons: 3
Source: RefSeq, a predicted model, not a curated record
CCCCCCCCCCCCCCCAUUGCGCAGACGCGGAAGCUUUUGGUAGCCGGUUCCUGAGACUGCGUGGGGAAGAGUUCGCCGCGGGUGGCACCCUGUCCCAGGUCUGGCCUCGGCAUGGCCGCCCUGCUUGUGAGAAGCGCGGUGGCUUCGCUCGUGGACCCGCUCCUGCACCUGAGUCGCCUCGCUGCCGUGAAGCCCCGGGCCUUCUCGUCCUUCCUGCUGGGGACCCUUCCAAGCGCCAGACCCUGCGCAGAGGUGCGCUCACUUCUCUGUGGCCGCCCCCUGCCGCAACUGCAGCCCUCGCAGGGCUUCAAGACCAAGGGUGUCAUCAAGAGGCGCUGCAGGGACUGCUACAUGGUGAAGAGGCGUGGGCGCUGGUUCGUCCUCUGCAAGACCAACCCCAGGCAUAAGCAGAGGCAAAUGUAAGGGCCAAUGCCCGUGGGAAAUUCGUUUCGUCGUAUCAAAGAAAAAUAAAUAGGAACACGAAAGCUGAGCUUGGCUUUCCAGAGCGAUCCUGAAACACAGCCAGGUACCAUUGACAAGAGUCCUGUAGAAGGAGCCCUAGGGGACAAAAGCCUGCUGCCGGCAUCUGACACACAGGGACUUCUCUGUUCCUUUCUGAUACUAGAAGUGAGCACAGAGCCUCAGAGUCAUCCUAAGGUACCUCAAGGCGGUAAAGGGUGGUAUCUGCAUCCCCUUGGAGCUUUCUGAGACUAAGAGGACACUUUGUUUGCUUAGGCCUGUGUGAGGUUCUCCUAGGACUAAAGACAGUGUGUUUCUUUCCUUUUUGUCCCCAGGUCAAUGGUGACUGGCCAUGGACUGGGUAGGGGGAAAGGCUGCAGAGUCACCUCCUGGCUAUACGAAAUAGUUCU